Molecule: long non-coding RNA, 735 nt
Organism: Chinchilla lanigera (long-tailed chinchilla)
Lineage: Eukaryota; Metazoa; Chordata; Mammalia; Rodentia; Chinchillidae
Exons: 3
Source: RefSeq, a predicted model, not a curated record
UUAUCCUCCCGUGGCCUCCCCACACACCAAACCAGGUUCAAGACAUGCUAUUAGCAGCAAUUAAGAGCCCAAUUAUGUUCUGGAGUUUGCAGCUUGGCUAACCUGAGUUAUGGGCUGAGCCACCAGGCUUCUGGCUGAUCAUUCAGAGCGUGCAAAGGGAAAAAAAUCUGUCGUGUCUGACGUGCCCGAGCUAAAACACUUCAUUUUCCUUUCCAGUUGAUGAGGAAAUUGAGACUCCGGGUGAGAUACAGAGGCCAGGCCAAGCUGGGACAUAAGUGACAUCACAGCAGUGCCUUUGUAACCCAUCUAGGCUCCUCUUCUGCCUCGCACCUGGUUUUGAGGCUCCCAGAGCCAACUCAACAAAAGUCCAAACUGCAGGUGUUAGCUUACAAAGCCCCAGAGGCCACACGCUGGAGCAGCACACUUGUGUCCCUUGGAAGAGCCAGCAGAGCCACUUGCUGAUGGGGUCCUGGACCACAGACUUGCACACGUCCCCUGUCACCCUGGCUUCAGGAAAUGAGGAGCCGGCAUGCAGUGUUUGUUAUUCACAGCUCCGGCAGCGGGAAUCUAUGCUUCCCACCGUCCUGCGGUUCUAAUGGGAGCAAUGCAAGAGAAGCUCGCUCCACACACCUACGGGCAGGCUCCCUGCCAAAGCCCACCACACUCCAGCUUCCUGUUCAUUUUGCCUCAUGGAUGAUUUUUAAAGCUUUUUAAUUGUCCUUAAUAAAUUAUCUA